AGAAAAAUGGGUCUUGCACCCACACCUAAAAACUCAAAAUUUUUAGCACUCCGUUAUGCUACUUUCUAG
Molecule: transfer RNA, 69 nt
Filed under: Microlophus bivittatus
Lineage: Eukaryota; Metazoa; Chordata; Lepidosauria; Squamata; Tropiduridae
Also listed under: 1 other name
Description: tRNA-Gln
Source: RNAcentral